UACAGAGGGUGCAAGCGUUAAUCGGAGUUACUGGGCGUAAAGGGCGCGUAGGCGGUUAAUCAAGUGAGUGGCGAAAUCCCUGGGCUUAACCUAGGAAUUGCCACUUAGACUGGUAGACUGGAGUACAGUAGAGGGUGGUGGAAUUUCCGGUGUAGCGGUGAAAUGCGUAGAGAUCGGAAGGAACAUCAGUGGCGAAGGCGACCACCUGGACUGAAACUGACGCUGAGGCGCGAAAGCGUGGGGAGCAAACAGG
RNAcentral lists this ribosomal RNA (253 nucleotides) under uncultured bacterium. Its description in RNAcentral is "partial 16S ribosomal RNA". It matches the Rfam family "Bacterial small subunit ribosomal RNA", at positions 524 to 776 of the family's 1533-position model. The record is from RNAcentral.